CCUACGGGGUGCAGCAGUGAGGAAUAUUGGUCAAUGGACGAGAGUCUGAACCAGCCAAGUAGCGUGAAGGAUGACUGCCCUAUGGGUUGUAAACUUCUUUUAUAUGGGAAUAAAAUGUUCCACGUGUGGGCUUUUGUAUGUACCCUAUGAAUAAGGAUCGGCUAACUCCGUGCCAGCAGCCGCGGUAAUACGGAGGAUCCGAGCGUUAUCCGGAUUUAUUGGGGUUAAAGGGAGCGUAGGUGGGUUUUUAAGUCAGUUGUGAAAGUUUGCGGCUCAACCGUAAAAUUGCAGUUGAAACUGGCAGGCUUGAGUACAGUAGAGGUGGGCGGAAUUCGUGGUGUAGCGGUGAAAUGCUUAGAUAUCACGAAGAACUCCGAUUGCGAAGGCAGCUCACUGGACUGCAACUGACACUGAGGCUCGAAAGUGUGGGUAUCAAACAGGAUUAGAUACCCUUGUAGUC
Molecule: ribosomal RNA, 460 nt
Filed under: uncultured bacterium
Lineage: Bacteria
Description: partial 16S ribosomal RNA
Rfam family: Bacterial small subunit ribosomal RNA
Source: RNAcentral